AUUGAACGCUGGCGGCAGGCCUAACACAUGCAAGUCGAACGGUAACAGGAAGAAUCUUGCUUCUUUGCUGACGGGUGGCGGGCGGGUGAGCAAUGUCUGGGAAACUGCCUGAUGGAUGGGGAUAACUACUGGAAACGGUAGCUAAUACCGCAUACCGGCGCAAGACCAAGGAGGGGGACCUGCGGGCCUCUUGCCAGCGGAUGUGCCCAGAUGGGAUGAGCUAGUAGGUGGGGCAAGGGCUCACCGAGGCGACGAUCCCUAGCUGGUCUGAGAGGAUGACCAGCCACACUGGAACUGAGACACGGUCCAGACUCCUACGGGAGGCAGCAGUGGGGAAUAUUGCACAAUGGGCGCAAGCCUGAUGCAGCCAUGCCGCGUGUAUGAAGAAGGUCUUCGGGUUGUAAAGUACUUUCAGCGGGGAGGAAGGGAGGAAAGUUAAUACCUUGGCGCAUUGACGUUACCCGCAGAAGAAGCACCGGCUAACUCCGUG
This 490-nucleotide ribosomal RNA is filed under the name uncultured bacterium. Its description in RNAcentral is "partial 16S ribosomal RNA". It matches the Rfam family "Bacterial small subunit ribosomal RNA", at positions 29 to 507 of the family's 1533-position model. The record is from RNAcentral.